AUGCCAACUACAGAUACCAGUGUGCCAACUGAUGUGUCAGUUAGCAGUAUGGUCACAGUCAAAACCACCACAGCUGGUCAGGAAGGCACCACUGCAACUGCAAGUCCCAAGGUGCCUACUGAUAGAGAUGCUUCAAUGCCAAACACAAAAGGAGGUGAUCCAACUAUCAAAGUGCCGUCCCCAAGAGUUGUCUUUCAGCAACCAUUAACACAAGAGGAGGUGUUCGACAUUAUAAGUAGGUGCAAGCCUCCAAGGCCGCCAACUACAACACUAUUGCGAACCAAGUCAGUGAAUGAUGCACCCAUGUUUGUGCCGCAAGGAGAUGCCCUGGUCCUUGAACCCUUACGAAGAUCAAACUCUUAUCAUGGUGACGGGUUCUGCGAUGCACCAUCUUUUGACCUCGGCAUAGAUGGUGAUGCUCCAGCACCUGCUCCAGCAGUAGAUACAGCGGAAGCCGGUGUGAUUAGCAUCGAUGAGUCAUCUCAAAGGUCUCCAUUCAUCGACUACAACAAGAACAAGACUUUCAGCACCAAUGAGGUAGUGAACAAGCUUUACGCUGCCCUCUUGUAUUGGGUCAGGCAUCAUAAAGGAGCAAAUGAUGGAGCUACCAGGUAUGGUGCUUUCUACAUUUCUUUAAAGGAGUUAGUUGAUUCGAUGAAGCCAGUUCAAUGGUUGUCAAAAAUUGUUAUUGAGACUGGAAUCUUACACAUCAUGGAUAACUUACCAGAAGGGUCAAAGAAGGUUGUUAUGCCACUGAGGUUUUCUAUAAAAUUACAGCAAGGGAUCCACAAUGUGGAUGAGAUGAACAAGAAGUUUGAUUACAAGAACCGUCUCGACAAGAAAGACUUGCUACAUCUUGUAUUUGUGUCUGAAAUCAUUCACGCUUGA
RNAcentral lists this ribosomal RNA (888 nucleotides) under Triticum aestivum (bread wheat). RNAcentral's name for it is "partial small subunit ribosomal RNA". The record is from RNAcentral. Lineage: Eukaryota; Viridiplantae; Streptophyta; Magnoliopsida; Poales; Poaceae.